This 987-nucleotide ribosomal RNA is filed under the name Plasmodium knowlesi. RNAcentral describes it as "SSU rRNA". It matches the Rfam family "Eukaryotic small subunit ribosomal RNA", at positions 638 to 1428 of the family's 1831-position model. The record is from RNAcentral. Lineage: Eukaryota; Apicomplexa; Aconoidasida; Haemosporida; Plasmodiidae.
ACAUAACUGAUGCCUCCGCGUAUCGACUUUGUGCGCAUUUUAGCUAUUAUGUGUUCUUUUAAUUAAAAUGAUUCUUUUUAAGAUUCAUCUAUUAAAAAUUUGCUUCUGCAUAAUUUUUUUUGAUGAUCUUGUUACUUUGAGUAAAUUAGAGUGUUCAAAGCAAACAGAUAUAGCAUUUGUGCGUUUGAAUACUACAGCAUGGAAUAACAAAAUUGAACAAGUCAGAAUUUUUUUGUUCUUUUUUCUUAUUUUGGCUUAGUUACGAUUAAUAGGAGUAGCUUGGGGGCAUUUGUAUUCAGAUGUCAGAGGUGAAAUUCUUAGAUUUUCUGGAGACAAACAACUGCGAAAGCAUUUGCCUAAAAUACUUCCAUUAAUCAAGAACGAAAGUUAAGGGAGUGAAGACGAUCAGAUACCGUCGUAAUCUUAACCAUAAACUAUGCCGACUAGGCUUUGGAUGAAAGAUUUUAAAAUAAGAGUUUUUCUUUUCUCUCCGGAGAUUAGAACUCUUAGAUUGCUUCCUUCAGUGCCUUAUGAGAAAUCAAAGUCUUUGGGUUCUGGGGCGAGUAUUCGCGCAAGCGAGAAAGUUAAAAGAAUUGACGGAAGGGCACCACCAGGCGUGGAGCUUGCGGCUUAAUUUGACUCAACACGGGAAAACUCACUAGUUUAAGACAAGAGUAGGAUUGACAGAUUAAUAGCUCUUUCUUGAUUUCUUGGAUGGUGAUGCAUGGCCGUUUUUAGUUCGUGAAUAUGAUUUGUCUGGUUAAUUCCGAUAACGAACGAGAUCUUAACCUGCUAAUUAGCGGCAAAUACGAUAUAUUCUUAUGUAGAAUUGAAUAUAGUGGAUUUGUUAGAUUUUGAAGAAAAUAUUGGAAUUACGUUAAAUGUGAUUCCUUUCCCUUUUCUACUUAAUUUACAUUUCCAUCUAUUUCUUUUUUGCGUAUGAAUGUAUUUGCUUGAUUGUAAAGCUUCUUAGAGGAACGAUGUGUG